CUAUCGUUAACUGAAUACAUAGGUUAACGAGGCGAACCGGGGGAACUGAAACAUCUAAGUACCCCGAGGAAAAGAAAUCAACCGAGAUUCCCCCAGUAGCGGCGAGCGAACGGGGAGCAGCCCAGAGUCUGAAUCAGCUUGUGUGUUAGUGGAACGGUCUGGAAAGUCCGACGGUACAGGGUGAUAGUCCCGUACACCAAAAUGCACAGGUUGUGAACUCGAAGAGUAGGGCGGGACACGUGGUAUCCUGUCUGAAUAUGGGGGGACCAUCCUCCAAGGCUAAAUACUCCUGACUGACCGAUAGUGAACCAGUACCGUGAGGGAAAGGCGAAAAGAACCCCGGCGAGGGGAGUGAAAAAGAACCUGAAACCGUGUACGUACAAGCAGUGGGAGCACCUUCGGGUGUGACUGCGUACCUUUUGUAUAAUGGGUCAGCGACUUAUAUUCUGUAGCAAGGUUAACCGUAUAGGGGAGCCGCAGGGAAACCGAGUCUUAACUGGGCGUUAAGUUGCAGGGUAUAGACCCGAAACCCGGUGAUCUAGCCAUGGGCAGGUUGAAGGUUGGGUAACACUAACUGGAGGACCGAACCGACUAAUGUUGAAAAAUUAGCGGAUGACUUGUGGCUGGGGGUGAAAGGCCAAUCAAACCGGGAGAUAGCUGGUUCUCCCCGAAAGCUAUUUAGGUAGCGCCUCGUGAACUCAUCUUCGGGGGUAGAGCACUGUUUCGGCUAGGGGGUCAUCCCGACUUACCAACCCGAUGCAAACUACGAAUACCGAAGAAUGUUAUCACGGGAGACACACGGCGGGUGCUAACGUCCGUCGUGAAGAGGGAAACAACCCAGACCGCCAGCUAAGGUCCCAAAGUCAUGGUUAAGUGGGAAACGAUGUGGGAAGGCACAGACAGCCAGGAUGUUGGCUUAGAAGCAGCCAUCAUUUAAAGAAAGCGUAAUAGCUCACUGGUCGAGUCGGCCUGCGCGGAAGAUGUAACGGGGCUAAACCAUGCACCGAAGCUGCGGCAGCGACACUAUGUGUUGUUGGGUAGGGGAGCGUUCUGUAAGCCUGCGAAGGUGUGCUGUGAGGCAUGCUGGAGGUAUCAGAAGUGCGAAUGCUGACAUAAGUAACGAUAAAGCGGGUGAAAAGCCCGCUCGCCGGAAGACCAAGGGUUCCUGUCCAACGUUAAUCGGGGCAGGGUGAGUCGACCCCUAAGGCGAGGCCGAAAGGCGUAGUCGAUGGGAAACAGGUUAAUAUUCCUGUACUUGGUGUUACUGCGAAGGGGGGACGGAGAAGGCUAUGUUAGCCGGGCGACGGUUGUCCCGGUUUAAGCAUGUAGGCUGAUUGUCCAGGCAAAUCCGGAUAAUCAAGGCUGAGGUGUGAUGACGAGGCACUACGGUGCUGAAGUAACAAAUGCCCUGCUUCCAGGAAAAGCCUCUAAGCAUCAGGUAACAUUAAAUCGUACCCCAAACCGACACAGGUGGUCAGGUAGAGAAUACCAAGGCGCUUGAGAGAACUCGGGUGAAGGAACUAGGCAAAAUGGUGCCGUAACUUCGGGAGAAGGCACGCUGGUGUGUAGGUGAAGUCCCUGCGGAUGGAGCUGAGACCAGUCGAAGAUACCAGCUGGCUGCAACUGUUUAUUAAAAACACAGCACUGUGCAAACACGAAAGUGGACGUAUACGGUGUGACGCCUGCCCGGUGCCGGAAGGUUAAUUGAUGGGGUUAUCCGUAAGGAGAAGCUCUUGAUCGAAGCCCCGGUAAACGGCGGCCGUAACUAUAACGGUCCUAAGGUAGCGAAAUUCCUUGUCGGGUAAGUUCCGACCUGCACGAAUGGCGUAAUGAUGGCCAGGCUGUCUCCACCCGAGACUCAGUGAAAUUGAACUCGCUGUGAAGAUGCAGUGUACCCGCGGCAAGACGGAAAGACCCCGUGAACCUUUACUAUAGCUUGACACUGAACAUUGAGCCUUGAUGUGUAGGAUAGGUGGGAGGCUUUGAAGCGUGGACGCCAGUCUGCGUGGAGCCAACCUUGAAAUACCACCCUUUAAUGUUUGAUGUUCUAACGUUGGCCCCUGACCGGGGUUGCGGACAGUGUCUGGUGGGUAGUUUGACUGGGGCGGUCUCCUCCCAAAGCGUAACGGAGGAGCACGAAGGUUAGCUAAUCCUGGUCGGACAUCAGGAGGUUAGUGCAAUGGCAUAAGCUAGCUUGACUGCGAGCGUGACGGCGCGAGCAGGUGCGAAAGCAGGUCAUAGUGAUCCGGUGGUUCUGAAUGGAAGGGCCAUCGCUCAACGGAUAAAAGGUACUCCGGGGAUAACAGGCUGAUACCGCCCAAGAGUUCAUAUCGACGGCGGUGUUUGGCACCUCGAUGUCGGCUCAUCACAUCCUGGGGCUGAAGUAGGUCCCAAGGGUAUGGCUGUUCGCCAUUUAAAGUGGUACGCGAGCUGGGUUUAGAACGUCGUGAGACAGUUCGGUCCCUAUCUGCCGUGGGCGCUGGAGAAUUGAGGGGGGCUGCUCCUAGUACGAGAGGACCGGAGUGGACGCAUCACUGGUGUUCGGGUUGUCAUGCCAAUGGCACUGCCCGGUAGCUAAAUGCGGAAGAGAUAAGUGCUGAAAGCAUCUAAGCACGAAACUUGCCCCGAGAUGAGUUCUCCCUGAGACUUUAAGUCUCCUGAAGGAACGUUGAAGACGACGACGUUGAUAGGCCGGGUGUGUAAGCGCAGCGAUGCGUUGAGCUAACCGGUACUAAUGAACCGUGAGGCUUAACCUU
Molecule: ribosomal RNA, 2756 nt
Filed under: Klebsiella pneumoniae
Lineage: Bacteria; Pseudomonadati; Pseudomonadota; Gammaproteobacteria; Enterobacterales; Enterobacteriaceae
Description: bacterial LSU rRNA
Rfam family: Bacterial large subunit ribosomal RNA
Source: RNAcentral